UACGUAGGGUGCAAGCGUUAUCCGGAAUUAUUGGGCGUAAAGGGCUCGUAGGCGGUUUGUCGCGUCGGGAGUGAAAACCUUGGGCUUAACUCAGGGCUUGCUUUCGAUACGGGCAGACUAGAGGUAUGCAGGGGAGAACGGAAUUCCUGGUGUAGCGGUGAAAUGCGCAGAUAUCAGGAGGAACACCGGUGGCGAAGGCGGGUCUCUGGGCCGAUACUGACGCUGAGGAGCGAAAGCGUGGGGAGCGAACAGG
This 253-nucleotide ribosomal RNA is filed under the name uncultured bacterium. RNAcentral's name for it is "partial 16S ribosomal RNA". It matches the Rfam family "Bacterial small subunit ribosomal RNA", at positions 524 to 776 of the family's 1533-position model. The record is from RNAcentral.